AUGAAGUUUAUGAAACUUGGCACCAGGCCCGACACCUUCUACUCCUCCUCCGACUCCGAGAGGUCCGUGUACACGGAGGUGGCCACUGACCUGCAGAUCCUGGUGGGCAAAUGCCUCUACCAUCUCCACAAGUUUCCUCUGCUCUCCAAAUGCCUGCUUCUGCAAGCGCUCUGUGCCGAGUCCGGCUGCGGCGGCGACGGCGACGUCAUCGAGCUGGCGGGCUUCCCGGGCGGCGCCGAGGCGUUCGAGGUCUGCGCCAAGUUCUGCUACGGCAUCACAAUCACCGUCAGCGCGCGCAACCUCGUCCCGCUCCGCUGCGCCGCCGCUCACCUCGGCAUGUCCGAGGCCGCCGACCGCGGCAACCUCGUGGCCAAGCUCGACUCCUUCCUCGCCUCUUGCCUCCUCCGCCGGUGGAAGGAUGCGCUCGCCGUGCUCCACUCCACGCGCCACAACGUGCCGCUGUGCGAGGAGCUCGGCCUCACCUCCCGCUGCGUGGACGCCGUCGCCGACCUCAUCGCCAACCCUGCCGCCGCCGUUCUCCCCGCCAAGUCCACGUCCGCGUCGCCCUGGUGGGCGCACGACGUCGCGGAGCUUGGCGUUGAUAUGUUCUGGCGUAUCAUGGUGGCCGUAAAAUCGACGGGCGCCGUCAACGAGAAGACGAUCGGCGAUGCGCUCAAGACUUACGCGCGCCGGUGGCUGCCCAACGUUGCCAAGGACGGGCUCGCCGCGGAGCAGCCGUUCGACGACGCCGUCGGCGCCAGCGUGAAGCAGAUCACCACGAGGCACCGCCUCCUCCUGGAGAAGAUCGUGAGCCUUCUCCCGGUGGACAAGGACGCCGUCUCCUGCGCCUUCCUCCUCAAGCUCCUCAAGGCGGCCAACAUCCUGAGCGCGUCCCCCGCGUCCAAGGCAGAGCUGGUGAGGAGGGUGGCAUGGCAGCUCGAGGAGGCCAGCGUUAGCGACCUGCUCAUCCCGUCAGUGUCCUGCAUGAGUGACAUGCUGUACGACGUGGACGCCGUGGCGGCCAUCCUCCACGAGUUCGCGCUGCGGCACGCGGCGGCCACCGCGCCGGCGAGGAGCCCCGACGACAACAGCCCGGCACGGUCGGACGGGCACCGGCGGUCGAGGUCCGACGAGAGCGUGGGGUUCGACGGCGCGCGGCGGUCGUCGUCGGCCGCGCCGGUGUCGCAGUACGCGUUGGCGAGGGUGGGCAGGCUCGUGGACGCGUUCCUGAUGGAGGUGGCCAAGGAUCCCCACCUGCCCGUGGAGAAGCUGCUCGCGAUUGCCGAGGCCGUGCCUGACAGCGCUCGCCCGGAGCACGACGGGCUCUACAAAGUCGUCGACUCGUACCUCAAGGUGCAUCCGGAGAUGAGCAAGAGCGCAAGAAAGCGGCUGUGCCGGGUGCUCAACUGCCGGAGGCUGUCGGAGAAGGCGUGCUCGCACGCGGCGCAGAACGAGCUUCUCCCGCUCCGCGUCGUGGUGCAGGUGCUCUUCUUCGAGCACGCGCGGGCGGCGGCGCUGUCGGGCGCGCCCGUCGCCGGCGAGCUGCCUAGCAACAUCAAGGCGCUGCUGUCCAAGUCCGGGUCGGAGGAGGACGACGCCGACCGGGUGGACGAGCAGCGGCUGCGUGCCCUGGCGUCCGGCGCGUCACCGGGGGACGACUGGAGCGUGGAGGGGCUCCGGCGCGCGGCGUCCAAGAUCGCCACGCUGCGCAUGAAGAUGGAGGAGGACGAUGAGGACGACGAGGAGUUCGUGCGCAAGGCCGGGCUGUCGCGCAGCGCGUCGCUGCGGUUCAGGGCCUUCUGCGCUAUGCCGGCGGGGAACCCGAAGCGGAUGCUCAGCAAGCUGUGGCCGCUGGGAAGAAGCGUCUCCGCCGACCGGCAUUAG
RNAcentral lists this ribosomal RNA (1884 nucleotides) under Triticum aestivum (bread wheat). RNAcentral's name for it is "partial small subunit ribosomal RNA". The record is from RNAcentral. Lineage: Eukaryota; Viridiplantae; Streptophyta; Magnoliopsida; Poales; Poaceae.